ACGUACGUACCCUCUUCAAAAAGAAUUAUAAACACAAAUUGAAUAAAAAUAAAAAUAAAAAUGGCUUCAUUAGGGGUUAAAAUAUGUCUUAUUCUUUAUGUUUUCGUGUUGGUGUCGAUGUCUAUAAAUGGAGAGGAGAAUAUGAGAGCUCCAGUGCCACCGUCUACCGGUUCUCCGUGCUCUAACAUCCCUGGCGGCAAAGGCCACUGCGAAGAUAUGUAUGUCCCUGGCGGCGGUGGUGGCUCCGUCCACCACGCACCACCACCGCCAUAUACUCCGGGAGCUGCCGUAGACUUGUAGACUUUGAGGCGCGCAACUUCUUUGGCAACUGAAUCGUGUCGUUACGACUGCGGAGAAGGACUUGGCUUCUUGAUCAUUAUUAGUUUUUUUUUUUUUUAGAGAGAAUCACAUUAUUCAUUAGUUGUUAUAUGAGUACUAUUCUUGCAUGUUAUUUGCUGAAAUUCUUGUAAUUUUUUUUUUUUUUUUUUUUUUUAUCAUUAUCUUAUUUUGAUAAUAGGGAAAUUAUAAAAUGCUAAAUCAGAUUAUCUAAACACUAAAGUAAUGGAUUAGUGGGUAUUGUAAGAAUAGUAAAAUAAAGUUAUGAUUUGAUCCUCAAAUUUAACGGGAAGGGAAG
This 634-nucleotide long non-coding RNA is filed under the name Erythranthe guttata (spotted monkey flower). RNAcentral describes it as "long non-coding RNA (EGUT_LNC001726)". Lineage: Eukaryota; Viridiplantae; Streptophyta; Magnoliopsida; Lamiales; Phrymaceae. The record is from RNAcentral.